Molecule: ribosomal RNA, 373 nt
Filed under: uncultured bacterium
Lineage: Bacteria
Description: bacterial SSU rRNA
Rfam family: Bacterial small subunit ribosomal RNA
Source: RNAcentral
CUAUUGGAAACGAUAGCUAAUACCGGAUAACAGCAUUAACUGCAUGGUUGAUGUUUAAAAGUUGGUUUUGCUAACACUAUGAGAUGGCUUUGCGGUGCAUUAGCUAGUUGGUGGGGUAAAGGCCUACCAAGGCGACGAUGCAUAGCCGACCUGAGAGGGUGAUCGGCCACACUGGGACUGAGACACGGCCCAGACUCCUACGGGAGGCAGCAGUAGGGAAUCUUCCGCAAUGGGCGAAAGCCUGACGGAGCAACGCCGCGUGAGUGAAGAAGGAUUUCGGUUCGUAAAGCUCUGUUGUUAGGGAAGAAUGAUUGUGUAGUAACUAUACACAGUAGAGACGGUACCUAACCAGAAAGCCACGGCUAACUACGUG